UCCAUUAAUUGUACUUGAUACUGUCUGGUAGC
This 32-nucleotide non-coding RNA is filed under the name Mus musculus (house mouse). Lineage: Eukaryota; Metazoa; Chordata; Mammalia; Rodentia; Muridae. The record is from RNAcentral.